RNAcentral lists this ribosomal RNA (319 nucleotides) under uncultured eukaryote. RNAcentral's name for it is "partial 18S ribosomal RNA". It matches the Rfam family "Eukaryotic small subunit ribosomal RNA", at positions 1470 to 1796 of the family's 1831-position model. The record is from RNAcentral.
CCCUUAGGUGUUCUGGGCCGCACGCGCGCUACAAUGGUCUUCGCAAACGGAUGCAUUCUCGAAGGAGAAUGCCAAUCUUGGAAUCUAUGCCUUGGUCGGGACAGUUGCUUGCAAUUUUUCGACUCGAACCAGGAAUUCCUUGUAAUCGUGAUUCAUCACAUCACGAUGAAUACGUCCCUGCCCUUUGUACACACCGCCCGUCGCUCCUACCGAUCGAAGAGUUAGGUGAAUUGUUUUGAUCGAUAAGAUUUGACUAUGGUCAACUCUCGUUGUGAAAUUCUGUGAAUCUGACUGUUUAGAGGAAGGAAAAGUCGUAACA